RNAcentral lists this ribosomal RNA (758 nucleotides) under uncultured bacterium. RNAcentral's name for it is "bacterial SSU rRNA". It matches the Rfam family "Bacterial small subunit ribosomal RNA", at positions 749 to 1507 of the family's 1533-position model. The record is from RNAcentral.
GGGAACUGGACCGGGGACAGAUUAACAGGAUUAGAUACCCUGGUAGUCCACGCCCUAAACUAUGUCAACUGGUUGUCGGGGAAGCAAUUCCUUGGUAACGAAGCUAACGCGUGAAGUUGACCGCCUGGGGAGUACGGCCGCAAGGUUAAAACUCAAAGGAAUUGACGGGGACCCGCACAAGCGGUGGAUUAUGUGGAUUAAUUCGAUGCAACGCGAAAAACCUUACCUACCCUUGACAUGCCAGGAACCCUCCAGAGAUGGAGGGGUGCCCGAAAGGGAACCUGGACACAGGUGCUGCAUGGCUGUCGUCAGCUCGUGUCGUGAGAUGUUGGGUUAAGUCCCGCAACGAGCGCAACCCUUGCCAUUAGUUGCCACAUUAAGUUGGGCACUCUAAUGGGACUGCCGGUGACAAACCGGAGGAAGGUGGGGAUGACGUCAAGUCCUCAUGGCCCUUAUGGGUAGGGCUUCACACGUAAUACAAUGGCCGGUACAGAGGGCAGCCAACCCGCGAGGGGGAGCUAAUCCCAGAAAGCCGGUCGUAGUCCGGAUUGCAGUCUGCAACUCGACUGCAUGAAGCCGGAAUCGCUAGUAAUCGCGGAUCAGCAUGUCGCGGUGAAUACGUUCCCGGGUCUUGUACACACCGCCCGUCACACCAUGGGAGUGGGUUCCACCAGAAGUAGUUAGCCUAACCGCAAGGAGGGCGACUACCACGGUGAGAUUCAUGACUGGGGUGAAGUCGUAACAAGGUAACCAAUCUU